CCUACGGGUGGCAGCAGUGAGGAAUAUUGGUCAAUGGCCGGAAGGCUGAACCAGCCAAGUCGCGUGAGGGAAUAAGGCCCUAUGGGUCGUAAACCUCUUUUGUCAGGGAGCAAAGGCGUCCACGAGUGGACGAAAGGAGAGUACCUGAAGAAAAAGCAUCGGCUAACUCCGUGCCAGCAGCCGCGGUAAUACGGAGGAUGCGAGCGUUAUCCGGAUUUAUUGGGUUUAAAGGGAGCGUAGGCGGGUUGUUAAGUCAGUUGUGAAAGUUUGCGGCUCAACCGUAAAAUUGCAGUUGAUACUUGCAUCCUUGAGUACAGUAGAGGUAGGCGGAAUUCGUGGUGUAGCGGUGAAAUGCUUAGAUAUCACGAAGAACUCCGAUUGCGAAGGCAGCCUGCUGGACUGUAACUGACGCUGAUGCUCGAAAGUGUGGGUAUCAAACAGGAUUAGAUACCCUUGUAGUC
Molecule: ribosomal RNA, 461 nt
Filed under: uncultured bacterium
Lineage: Bacteria
Description: partial 16S ribosomal RNA
Rfam family: Bacterial small subunit ribosomal RNA
Source: RNAcentral